Molecule: ribosomal RNA, 636 nt
Filed under: uncultured bacterium
Lineage: Bacteria
Description: bacterial SSU rRNA
Rfam family: Bacterial small subunit ribosomal RNA
Source: RNAcentral
CAAGAUGGCAUCAUGAGUCCGCAUGUUCACAUGAUUAAAGGUAUUCCGGUAGACGAUGGGGAUGCGUUCCAUUAGAUAGUAGGCGGGGUAACGGCCCACCUAGUCUUCGAUGGAUAGGGGUUCUGAGAGGAAGGUCCCCCACAUUGGAACUGAGACACGGUCCAAACUCCUACGGGAGGCAGCAGUGAGGAAUAUUGGUCAAUGGGCGAGAGCCUGAACCAGCCAAGUAGCGUGAAGGAUGACUGCCCUAUGGGUUGUAAACUUCUUUUAUAAAGGAAUAAAGUCGGGUAUGCAUACCCGUUUGCAUGUACUUUAUGAAUAAGGAUCGGCUAACUCCGUGCCAGCAGCCGCGGUAAUACGGAGGAUCCGAGCGUUAUCCGGAUUUAUUGGGUUUAAAGGGAGCGUAGAUGGAUGUUUAAGUCAGUUGUGAAAGUUUGCGGCUCAACCGUAAAAUUGCAGUUGAUACUGGAUAUCUUGAGUGCAGUUGAGGCAGGCGGAAUUCGUGGUGUAGCGGUGAAAUGCUUAGAUAUCACGAAGAACUCCGAUUGCGAAGGCAGCCUGCUAAGCUGCAACUGACAUUGAGGCUCGAAAGUGUGGGUAUCAAACAGGAUUAGAUACCCUGGUAGUCCACACGGU